Ailuropoda melanoleuca (giant panda) is the source of this 890-nucleotide long non-coding RNA. RefSeq lists it as uncharacterized. Lineage: Eukaryota; Metazoa; Chordata; Mammalia; Carnivora; Ursidae. The record is from RefSeq and is a predicted model, not a curated record. The transcript has 2 exons.
ACACUUUAGUAUUCCAAUUUAGUAAAAUGCUCCCAGAUUCUCAGAAUUCCUGAAGUAUAAUCUGAUUCAGAAGCAAUUCUUUAUUUAAUUGGGCAUUAUGGAAUGAUUCCUUUCUCUUUUUACUACCUACAUUUUGGAUUAUUUCACAUUAAAUUCAGUCAUGCAUUUGUCAGCAUUUCGCUUCUCAUAUUUUCUUGCAUAAAACCUCACGUUGACACUUAUGAGGAUGCUAUUCUACUUGACAGAUUGAAGUGGUUUCUAUGGGUGAGAUGGAGCUUAAGACUGAGGAAAGUAUUUUUGCCAGGAUAACAGAACUCUUUUUAAUUCUGUGCCUCUCUUUGCCUACAGAUAAUGACUUUAAAUAAGAUGCUAGUAUGUCAAGUUCUCAAUGGAAAAUUCAGCAUAGAAAAUUCAGUUCCCUUGAAACAUAUUCUUCUAGUAUACUGUUAUUAAGAGAAGCAUCAGCUUGACAGUGACAAAAAAUGUUUUCAUUUUCCAGGUUUCCCGAAUCUGCAGUUUCUGUUUUGAAGAGCCAGCACUUACGGCAGAAACUCCUUCAGUCUCUGUUUCUUGAUAAAGUUUAUUGGGAAAGUCAAGGAGGUAGACAAGGAAUUGAAAAGCUUAUUGAUGUCAUAGAGCAGAGAGCCAAAAUCCUUCUUACCUACAUCAAUGCACAUGGGGCCAAAGUAUUACCUAUGAAUGAAUAAAAGGAUCUUCUGGCUAGAACACUAGACAUAUUAACGCAUUUGUUUUUCUUUUUGUUUUUAAAUCAAGUACACAAACCUCAAUUCUUUUUAGGAAUGAGGCACUGGAGAUGAAUAUAUAAAAUAAAUGAGUUUAACCAAGUGUAUACGAUAGGUCUGAGCAUGAUAAGCAGACUUAAAACCUUU